CCACCACCUUUCCACAGCUUGUUCAUUUUUAACUGAGGCUUCUUUAUACACACCAGGUGUGGUCUUCACUUUUAUCAUCUCGUUAUUGUGAAGUCUGUGAUCUGCUCCAGGGAUUAAUUAGAGCUGUUCCAGUAGCUGCAAGUAGGCAUCUAGGAGAACAAGUUUUGCACACUUUUCUGAGAUACUCACGUGAUCUCCAGGCCACUUUGCCAUAUCUGAAGAUAUACCUGGCUUGAAAUCAGAGACUUUUCCAAAUGACAUAGGAAAACAACAUUCAAACCAAGGCAUGGAAGUGGAAUGCAAGCUACAAGCCAGAGCACUAUAAAAUA
RNAcentral lists this long non-coding RNA (329 nucleotides) under Manacus vitellinus (golden-collared manakin). RNAcentral describes it as "lncRNA (ENSMVIG00005015772.1)". Lineage: Eukaryota; Metazoa; Chordata; Aves; Passeriformes; Pipridae. The record is from RNAcentral.